GACGAACGCUGGCGGCGUGCUUAACACAUGCAAGUCGAACGGAAAGGCCCCUUUGGGGGUACUCGAGUGGCGAACGGGGGAGUAACACGUGCGUAACCUGCCCUUGACUUCGGGAUAACUUCAGGAAACUGGGGCUAAUACCGGAUAGGAAUCCUUGCUGCAUGGUGGGGGUUGGAAAGCUUCGGCGGGUUUGGAUGGACUCGCGGGUUAUCAGCUUGUUGGUGGGGUAGUGGCUUACCAAGGCGUUGACGGGUAGCCGGCCUGAGAGGGCGACCGGCCACAUUGGGACUGAGAUACGGCCCAGACUCCUACGGGAGGCAGCAGUGGGGAAUAUUGCACAAUGGGCGGAAGCCUGAUGCAGCAACGCCGCGUGCGGGAUGACGGCCUUCGGGUUGUAAACCGCUUUCAGCAGGGGCGAAGCUUGUGGUGACGGUACCUGCAGAAGAAGCACCGGCUAACUACGUG
This 465-nucleotide ribosomal RNA is filed under the name uncultured bacterium. RNAcentral's name for it is "partial 16S ribosomal RNA". It matches the Rfam family "Bacterial small subunit ribosomal RNA", at positions 28 to 507 of the family's 1533-position model. The record is from RNAcentral.